Small nucleolar RNA from Cephalotus follicularis, 107 nucleotides. It matches the Rfam family "Plant small nucleolar RNA R71". From Rfam's summary of the family: R71 is a member of the C/D box family of snoRNAs containing the C (UGAUGA) and D (CUGA) box motifs. Multiple nearly identical copies of this snoRNA have been identified in Arabidopsis, and it is thought to function as a 2'-O-ribose methylation guide for 18S ribosomal RNA. The record is from Rfam. NCBI's taxonomy places the organism in Eukaryota, Viridiplantae, Streptophyta, Magnoliopsida, Oxalidales, Cephalotaceae.
AUGACAUGAUGGGGACAUUUCCUGAUAACGUCCUUUAAUCUUUCCCAUGACUCAUGGAACUGCUCACCAUCUUACUGUGAUUAGCAAGAGAGAGCUUGCCUUAUCUG